This 225-nucleotide long non-coding RNA is filed under the name Trifolium pratense (red clover). RNAcentral's name for it is "long non-coding RNA (TPRA_LNC007039)". Lineage: Eukaryota; Viridiplantae; Streptophyta; Magnoliopsida; Fabales; Fabaceae. The record is from RNAcentral.
AACAAUUAAGGAAGCAAAAGAAAAAUCUGAUUUGGCUGUUGCGUUCCUUCUCGAUUAUUGCCGCCUAUAAAAGUAUCCACAUCACCACUACUCUUCCCGGAUUUGAGCUUGUCCUCAAGCUCAAACUCUGGAUAAGCUUGUUGGAAGCGGUCAAUCGGUUCCCAAAUUGCAUCUUCUUCAGCAUAUCUGACCUAGUGCUCUUACUGCUACCGCUUCCUGAAUCCU